This 392-nucleotide long non-coding RNA is filed under the name Monodelphis domestica (gray short-tailed opossum). RNAcentral's name for it is "lncRNA (ENSMODG00000051301.1)". Lineage: Eukaryota; Metazoa; Chordata; Mammalia; Didelphimorphia; Didelphidae. The record is from RNAcentral.
GCCUUCUCCAAUAACCAUUUUCUGCUUGAGUCCUCUAGACGUUGGAAUAUAGCACAAGGGAAGUGUGCUCAAAGGAAAACUGGAGCUUUGGACCCAAGCUUAAUCAGCAGCCUUCCCUGAAGUCAAUUAGGGCGAGUUGACGGAGAGAGGCUUUUGCAGAAAAAGUCUCCAGAACGACCUUCCUGAGUUCAAAUCUGGAUUCCAAAACUAAGUAGCUGUGUGAUCCUGGUUUCAGAUGCUGGAGGUGAUCCCUAUGAACUUGGGGAUUUGAGCCAUGGUGACUUGGAACCAGGAUUUCAGUUAUAUCUAUCAAGGGUAUCCUUGAUGAAAACAUGAAAAGGAACAGGCAGGCCUCUGCAAUUUUCUAUAGCAGUCCACAUCUUUGCUGUCGC